UGCGUAGACGGUUACAUAAGUCGGGUGUGAAAGCCCCGGGCUCAACCUGGGAAUUGCAUUCGAGACUGCGUAGCUAGGGUGCGGAAGAGGGAAGCGGAAUUUCCGGUGUAGCGGUGAAAUGCGUAGAUAUCGGAAGGAACACCAGUGGCGAAAGCGGCUUCCUGGUCCAGCACCGACGUUCAGGCACGAAAGCGUGGGGAGCAAACAGGAUUAGAUACCCUGGUAGUCCACGCCAUAAACGAUGAGAACUAGACGUUGAAGGGGUAAGCCCUCCAGUGUCGUAGCUAACGCGCUAAGUUCUCCGCCUGGGGAGUACGGCCGCAAGGUUGAA
Molecule: ribosomal RNA, 331 nt
Filed under: uncultured Pseudomonadota bacterium
Lineage: Bacteria; Pseudomonadati; Pseudomonadota
Description: bacterial SSU rRNA
Rfam family: Bacterial small subunit ribosomal RNA
Source: RNAcentral